GUAGGUGAACCUGCGGAAGGAUCAUUACAGAGUAUCAUGCCCUUCGGGGUAGAUCUCCACCCUUGAAUAACAUACCUUUGUUGCUUUGGCAGGACGCACUCGUGCCAGGGGCUUCGGCUCUUGAGUGCCUGCCAGAGGACCACAACUCUUGUUUUUAGUGAUGUCUGAGUACUAUAUAAUAGUUAAAACUUUCAGCAACGGAUCUCUUGGUUCUGGCAUCGAUGAACAGCAUCUGACUGACUCGAACUCA
RNAcentral lists this unclassified non-coding RNA (250 nucleotides) under plant metagenome. RNAcentral describes it as "partial contains small subunit ribosomal RNA, internal transcribed spacer 1, and 5.8S ribosomal RNA". The record is from RNAcentral.